RNAcentral lists this ribosomal RNA (414 nucleotides) under uncultured bacterium. Its description in RNAcentral is "bacterial SSU rRNA". It matches the Rfam family "Bacterial small subunit ribosomal RNA", at positions 30 to 447 of the family's 1533-position model. The record is from RNAcentral.
AUUGAACGCUGGCGGUAUGCUUAACACAUGCAAGUCGAACGGUAACAGGCCUUCGGGCGCUGACGAGUGACGGACGGGUGAGUAACGCGUAGGAAUCUGCCUCAUAGUGGGGGACAACGUGGGGAAACUCACGCUAAUACCGCAUACGCCCUACGGGGGAAAGCGGGGGAUCUUCGGACCUCGCGCUAUGAGAUGAGCCUGCGUUAGAUUAGCUAGUUGGUAGGGUAAAGGCCUACCAAGGCGACGAUCUAUAGCUGGUCUGAGAGGACGAUCAGCCACACUGGGACUGAGACACGGCCCAGACUCCUACGGGAGGCAGCAGUGGGGAAUAUUGGACAAUGGGCGCAAGCCUGAUCCAGCAAUACCGCGUGUGUGAGAAGGCCCUAGGGUUGUAAAGCACUUUCAAUUGGGAGG